Molecule: ribosomal RNA, 210 nt
Filed under: uncultured bacterium
Lineage: Bacteria
Description: partial 16S ribosomal RNA
Rfam family: Bacterial small subunit ribosomal RNA
Source: RNAcentral
AGUGAACGCUGGCGGUAGGCCUAACACAUGCAAGUCGAACGGCAGCACAGGAGAGCUUGCUCUCUGGGUGGCGAGUGGCGGACGGGUGAGGAGUACGUCGGAAUCUACCUUUUCGUGGGGGAUAACGUAGGGAAACUUACGCUAAUACCGCAUAAGACCUUCGGUGAAGACCGGGGACCGUCGGCCGUCGGCGCGGAGUAGAUGAGCCGA